Molecule: ribosomal RNA, 492 nt
Filed under: uncultured bacterium
Lineage: Bacteria
Description: partial 16S ribosomal RNA
Rfam family: Bacterial small subunit ribosomal RNA
Source: RNAcentral
AUUGAACGCUGGCGGCAUGCUUUACACAUGCAAGUCGAACGGUAACAGGCCUGCGGGUGCUGACGAGUGGCGAACGGGUGAGUAAUGCAUCGGAACGUGCCCAGAGGUGGGGGAUAACGCAGCGAAAGCUGUGCUAAUACCGCAUGUGAUCUGAGGAUGAAAGCGGGGGACCAGGCAGCAAUGUUUGGCCUCGCGCCUUUGGAGCGGCCGAUGUCAGAUUAGGUAGUUGGUGGGGUAAAGGCCUACCAAGCCGACGAUCUGUAGCUGGUCUGAGAGGACGACCGGCCACACUGGGACUGAGACACGGCCCAGACUCCUACGGGAGGCAGCAGUGGGGAAUUUUGGACAAUGGGCGCAAGCCUGAUCCAGCAAUGCCGCGUGCGGGAAGAAGGCCUUCGGGUUGUAAACCGCUUUUGUACGGAACGAAAAGGCUCUGGCUAAUACCUGGGGCUGAUGACGGUACCGUAAGAAUAAGCACCGGCUAACUACGUG